CCUACGGGAGGCUGCAGUGAGGAAUAUUGGUCAAUGGCCGGAAGGCUGAACCAGCCAAGUCGCGUGAGGGACGAAUGCCCUAUGGGUUGUAAACCUCUUUUAUAAGGGAAGAAUAAAUGCUACGUGUAUCAUGAUGCCUGUACCUUAUGAAUAAGCAUCGGCUAACUCCGUGCCAGCAGCCGCGGUAAUACGGAGGAUGCGAGCGUUCUCCGGAUUUAUUGGGUUUAAAGGGUGCGUAGGCGGUUUGUUAAGUUAGUGGUAAAACGUCGGGGCUUCACCUUGAUUUGCCAUUAAUACUGUAAGACUCGAGUUCAGAAGAGGUAGGCGGAAUAAGUUAAGUAGCGGUGAAAUGCUUAGAUAUAACUUAGAACUCCGAUAGCGAAGGCAGCUUACCAGACUGCGACUGACGCUGAAGCACGAGAGCGUGGGUAGCGAACAGGAUUAGAUACCCUGGUAGUC
Molecule: ribosomal RNA, 459 nt
Filed under: uncultured bacterium
Lineage: Bacteria
Description: partial 16S ribosomal RNA
Rfam family: Bacterial small subunit ribosomal RNA
Source: RNAcentral